AUGGGCCAGGAGGACCUGGCGCUGCCUUCGCUGCGUGCCAGGUUCCGCCAUGGCUGCGCGCUGGCGGCCAUCCUAGUGCUCGCGGCAGCGGCUGCGCCGAGCGUGGCUGAUGGGUCGUCGUGCGACCUGUUCCAGGGGAGGUGGGUCGCCGACGCGUCCUACCCUCUGUACGACGCGGCCAGCUGCCCCUUCGUGCCCGACGUCUUCGACUGCCGCCGCAACGGCCGCCCGGACGCCGCCUACCUCAAGUUCCGGUGGAGCCCCGCCGCCUGCCGCCUCCCAAGGUUCGACGGGCUGGAAUUCCUGGAGACGUGGCGCGGGAAGACGGUGAUGUUCGUGGGGGACUCGCUGAGCAUGAACCAAUGGGUCUCCCUCGCCUGCAUGCUCCACGCCGCCGCGCCGGAUCCCGCCCGCGUCUCCUUCAGCACCGGCGACCCCGUCUCCUCCGUCCGCUUCGAGGACUACGACCUGUCGAUGGUGCUCUACUUCAGCAGGUUCCUGGUGGACGUGGUGCAGGAGGACGUCGGCCGCGUCCUCAAGCUCGACUCCAUGCAGGGCGCGGGCUCCUGGCUCGGCGCCCACCUGCUCGUCUUCAACACGUGGCACUGGUGGACCUACAAGGGCGCCAGCCAAGUGUGGGACUACAUGCAGGAGGGGAACAGAACGUACAACGACAUGGACCGGCUGGCCGCCUUCUCCAAGGGCCUCGCCACAUGGGCAAGGUGGGUCGACGACAACGUCGACGCGUCGCUCACCAGGGUCAUCUACCAAGGCGUCUCCCCAAGCCACUACACGUCCAAGGAGCAGGAGAGCGACGGGGCGGCGCCGGCGUCGGGGGGCUGUUUCCAGCAGACACGGCCGCGGCAGGUGGCCACGGACGGGGACGAGAGGGUGUCCCCGGAGCAGGUGGUCGUGCGGGGCCUGAUCGCGUCCAUGUCGACGCCGGUGUCCCUGCUGGACAUCACCUCGCUCUCGCAGCUCAGGAUCGACGCGCACCCGUCGGUUUACGGCGGGCCUGGCCGGGACGGCAUGGACUGCACGCACUGGUGCAUCGCCGGGCUGCCGGACGCGUGGAACCACAUCCUCAACGCGAUGCUGCUGCAGCACGCAUGA
RNAcentral lists this ribosomal RNA (1113 nucleotides) under Triticum aestivum (bread wheat). RNAcentral's name for it is "partial small subunit ribosomal RNA". The record is from RNAcentral. Lineage: Eukaryota; Viridiplantae; Streptophyta; Magnoliopsida; Poales; Poaceae.